Molecule: long non-coding RNA, 1334 nt
Filed under: Homo sapiens (human)
Lineage: Eukaryota; Metazoa; Chordata; Mammalia; Primates; Hominidae
Description: HSALNT0027846
Source: RNAcentral
AUUUUGUUACAUCCCAGUGGUUACUCUUUUUGUUACUGUGUCUACUUGAAGAGUUUUCUUUUGGGGGGUUGGCUACCACUGCACUUGCCUCUAAAAUAACACCUCUCCAUCUUUACAGUUUGCUGCUUUGAAUCUUCUGUGGCCAUGAAACUAGAUAACUAUGUUGCUUAAAAUACCUUGAGAAGAGAGCAGGCUUAUGGGCAUGGCCUUUUAGGAAGCACAUUAACUUGAUGAUGCUUAAUUUUGGUUCCUCCAAGAAUGAUCUCUUUUGCCUACUUUUUGAGUCUUAGCUUUAUGGAGGAUAGUGAGGUUCCUGGUGUACACAUAGGCAUUUUAGUUGGUACACUGCUUGAUCCACUCCUCCUACAGAUUGGGAAGGGUGACUUAAAAUGCCCUUAAAAGCAGGACAACUUUAAUGCUCCGUAGAGUUCAUUUUAAUGGUACUUCGUUUGUGACAUAAAUUGUGUUAACCAUGGUUUAUAGCAAGUUGGGGCAUAGAUUUUUAUGGAAUUGUGUGGCACUAUUGUAGUCUGAAUUUUAUUGGCUUUUUUACAUAGUCUUAGGCAGAAGAUUUUCCAAGGUUAAAUGCUUAAUGUGCUUUUCACUAGGACCUGAUAAAAAAGGACACCAGUUCUCAUGUGUUUGUCUUCAUGGUGACAGAAAGCCUCAUGAGAGAAAGCAAAACUUGGAAAGAUUUAAGAAAGGAGAUGUAAGAUUCUUGAUUUGCACAGAUGUAGCUGCUAGAGGAAUUGAUAUCCACGGUGUUCCUUAUGGUAAAAAGCAACUUUUUAUGCCUGUAGUGUGAUUGUUACGGAAUCUAAAGUAAAGCCUUCUAAUAUGUUUGAAAAAUUUAGAAACUACUGGCAAUUGUUAAUAAUGGUUUUUAUUUAUAGUUAUAAAUGUCACUCUGCCCGAUGAAAAGCAAAACUACGUACAUCGAAUUGGCAGAGUAGGAAGAGCUGAAAGGUACUUCUGCAAUUUUUUUUCCCCCAUUUUUAAGCUUGUAUGCUUUAGGAAUAAAGUCUAAUAGAAGGCUUUUAACCAUCUUUCAGGAUGGGUCUGGCAAUUUCCCUGGUGGCAACAGAAAAAGAAAAGGUAAUCUUUGUAGGGCUCUAUUAUAUUCAUUGUGUGUGUUGUGAUUUUAGAUGUUGGAAAUAAAAGCAGUUUGAUUUUCCCAUUUAAAUUUAAUUCAGCUGCGUAUGGAAUACAAAUGAACUUUUUAAUGUCAUCUUUUUUCCUAUAUUCAUUGAAUGGACAAAUAAUAGGGUGAAAUUUAGAAAGGAAAAAUGCAAAAUAUAAUUUUUCCAACUAGCUUUAUUGUACUCAUUUCCACC